GCAAAUUUACACCGUAACUUCGGGAGAAGGUGUGCCGCUGGCGGUUAGUGACUUCGCGUCACGAAGCUGUCGGUGGUCGCAGUGAAAUGGCGGUUGUGACUGUUUACUAAAAACACAGGACUCUGCGAAGUCGUAAGACGACGUAUAGGGUCUGAUGCCUGCCCGGUGCUGGAAGGUUAAGGGGAUAUGUCAGCGCAAGCGAAGCAUUGAACCGAAGCCCCAGUAAACGGCGGCCGUAACUAUAACGGUCCUAAGGUAGCGAAAUUCCUUGUCGGGUAAGUUCCGACCUGCACGAGGGCAUAACAACAUCCGCACUGUCUCGACCAGGGACUCAGCGAAAUUACAUUGGGGGUGAAGAUGCCCUCUACCCGCGGAAAGACGGAAAGACCCCAUGAACCUUUACUGCAACUUGGCAGUGAUUUUCGGGUUGUUCUGCGUAGGAUAGGUGGGAGGCUUUGAAGUCGGGCUUCCGGGUUCGACUGAGCCAACGUUGAAAUACCACCCUGAAUAAUCUGGAAAUCUAACCUGCGCCCAUGAUCUGGCGAGGGACACUGCCUGGUGGGCAGUUUGACUGGGGCGGUCGCCUCCUAAAUUGUAACGGAGGCGUGCGACGGUUCCCUCAGGCUGAUUGGAAACCAGCCGUAGAGUGCAAACGCAUAAGGGAGCUUUACUGCGAGACUGACAAGUCGAACAGUUGCGAAAGCAGGUGUUAGUGAUCCGGUGGUACCACAUGGAAGGGCCAUCGCUCAUCGGAUAAAAGGUACUCUGGGGAUAACAGGCUGAUCGCGCCUGAGAGUUCACAUCGGCGGCGCGGUUUGGCACCUCGAUGUCGGCUCAUCGCAUCCUGGGGCUGGAGCAGGUCCCAAGGGUUUGGCUGUUCGCCAAUUAAAGCGGUACGCGAGCUGGGUUUAAAACGUCGUGAGACAGUUUGGUCCCUAUCUUCCGUGGGCGCAGGACACUUGAGAGGAGCUAUCCAUAGUACGAGAGGACCUGGAUGGACGAACCUCUGGUGCUCCGGUUGUCACGCCAGUGGCAUAGCCGGGUAGCCAUGUUCGGAACAGAUAACCGCUGAAGGCAUAUAAGCGGGAAGCUGGCCUCAAGACUAGGUGUCCCUGACGCAAGUCACUAAAGGCCCCUCGAAGACUACGAGGUUGAUAGGCUCGGUGUGGAAGCGCUGCAAGGCGCGGAGCUAACGAGUACUAAUAGGCCGUGCGACUUGACCUG
RNAcentral lists this ribosomal RNA (1224 nucleotides) under metagenome. RNAcentral's name for it is "bacterial LSU rRNA". It matches the Rfam family "Bacterial large subunit ribosomal RNA", at positions 1717 to 2925 of the family's 2925-position model. The record is from RNAcentral.